Molecule: long non-coding RNA, 233 nt
Filed under: Brassica napus (rape)
Lineage: Eukaryota; Viridiplantae; Streptophyta; Magnoliopsida; Brassicales; Brassicaceae
Description: long non-coding RNA (BNAP_LNC010805)
Source: RNAcentral
GAUAAUUUACUACAAUUGCCAUUUUAUGAAACUUUAGUGCUUUGUAUGUUAUGUUUAACAAUUGAAAAGUUGGACAAGUCUUCAUAUCAAAUGCUUCAGUGAAAAAAUCUAACUUGAUUAAAAACACAUAUCUCAAUGGAAAUUGAUUUACUCUAUAUAUUUUUAAAAAUUGAUAUUCUUAGGUUUUAGUCUAUAUGUUUCAUUUUAAUUGUCGUUUGAAUCUUGAACACACA